This 305-nucleotide ribosomal RNA is filed under the name uncultured bacterium. Its description in RNAcentral is "bacterial SSU rRNA". It matches the Rfam family "Bacterial small subunit ribosomal RNA", at positions 333 to 655 of the family's 1533-position model. The record is from RNAcentral.
UUAUUCCUACGGGGGGCAGCAGUGGGGAAUAUUGGACAAUGGGGGAAACCCUGAUCCAGCGACGCCGCGUGAGUGAAGAAGUAUUUCGGUAUGUAAAGCUCUAUCAGCAGGGAAGAAAAUGACGGUACCUGACUAAGAAGCCCCGGCUAACUACGUGCCAGCAGCCGCGGUAAUACGUAGGGGGCAAGCGUUAUCCGGAUUUACUGGGUGUAAAGGGAGCGUAGACGGCAUAGCAAGUCUGAUGUGAAAGAUCGGGGCUCAACCCCGGGCCUGCAUUGGAAACUGUUAAGCUGGAGUACAGGAGG